This 460-nucleotide ribosomal RNA is filed under the name uncultured bacterium. RNAcentral's name for it is "partial 16S ribosomal RNA". It matches the Rfam family "Bacterial small subunit ribosomal RNA", at positions 338 to 795 of the family's 1533-position model. The record is from RNAcentral.
CCUACGGGCGGCAGCAGUGAGGAAUAUUGGUCAAUGGACGAGAGUCUGAACCAGCCAAGUAGCGUGAAGGAUGACUGCCCUAUGGGUCGUCAACUUCUUUUAUAUGGGCAUAAAAUGUUCCACGUGUGGGAUUUUGAAUGUACCAUAUGAAUAAGGAUCGGCUAACUCCGUGCCAGCAGCCGCGGUAAUACGGAGGAUCCGAGCGUUAUACGGAUUUAUUGGGUUUAAAGGGGGCGGAGGGGGGUUGUUAAGUCAGUUGUGAAAGGUUGGGGCUCAACCCGAGGAUUGCAGUUGAAACUGGAAGUCUUGAGUACAGGAGAGGUAGGCGGAAUUCGUGGUGUAGCGGUGAAAUGCAUAGAUAUCACGAAGAACUCCGAUUGCGAAGGCAGUUCGCUGGACUGAAACUGACGCUGAGGCACGAAAGUGUGGGUAUCAAACAGGAUUAGAUACCCGUGUAGUC